GUUGAACGCUGGCGGCAUGCCUAACACAUGCAAGUCGAGCGGAUGAACGGAGCGUUCUCCUGUAUUCAGCUACCGGCGGGUGAGUGAGUCCUAGGUAGCUGCCCUGUAUAUAGGACUAACGUCCGUUCACGGGCGCUAAUAUCGCAUACGUCCAUAUUUUGAAAGGGGUGGUUCUUCAGACCUCGCGCGUUUAGAUGUCCCUAGGACGUAUUAGCUAGUUGGUGAGGUAAAGGCGUACCAAGGCGACGAUCCGUAACUGAUCUGAGAGGAUGAUCAGUCACACUGGAACUGAGACACGGUCCAGACUCCUACGGGAGGCAGCAGUGGGGAAUAUUCGACAAUGGGCGAAAGCCUGAUCCAGCAACGCCGCGUGUGUGAAGAAGGUCUUCGGAUCGUAAAGCACUUUAAGUUGGGAAGAAGGGAAGUAAGUUAAUAUCUUGAUGUCUUGACGUUACCAACAGAAAAAGCCACGGCUAACUUCGUG
RNAcentral lists this ribosomal RNA (484 nucleotides) under uncultured bacterium. Its description in RNAcentral is "partial 16S ribosomal RNA". It matches the Rfam family "Bacterial small subunit ribosomal RNA", at positions 28 to 507 of the family's 1533-position model. The record is from RNAcentral.